GACGAACGCUGGCGGCGUGCCUAAUACAUGCAAGUUGAGCGCUGAAGGUUGGUACUUGUACCAAAUGGAUGAGCAGCGAACGGGUGAGUAACGCGUGGGGAAUCUGCCUUUGAGCGGGGGACAAAAUUUGGAAACGAAUGCUAAUACCGCAUAAAAACUUUAAACACAAGUUUUAAGUUUGAAAGAUGCAAUUACAUCACUCAAAGAUGAUCCCGCGUUGUAUUAGCUAGUUGGUGAGGUAAAGGCUCACCAAGGCGAUGAUACAUAGCCGACCUGAGAGGGUGAUCGGCCACAGUGGGACUGAGACACGGCCCAAACUCCUACGGGAGGCAGCAGUAGGGAAUCUUCGGCAAUGGACGAAAGUCUGACCGAGCAACGCCGCGUGAGUGAAGAAGGGUUUCGGAUCGUAAAACUCUGUUGGUAGAGAAGAACGUUGGUGAGAGUGGAAAGCUCAUCAAGUGACGGUAACUACCCAGAAAGGGACGGCUAACUACGUG
This 497-nucleotide ribosomal RNA is filed under the name uncultured bacterium. RNAcentral describes it as "partial 16S ribosomal RNA". It matches the Rfam family "Bacterial small subunit ribosomal RNA", at positions 28 to 507 of the family's 1533-position model. The record is from RNAcentral.